AAAGUUCAGGAAAAUGCUGCCACAGUUGGAUGGGGCAGUGGGAAUCCUGCCAAUAUCAAAUGUAAAACAGGCAAAGGAAAGGAGCCUCUUUUUGCCCUUCAUCCGCCCUUACUCCAUGCCAGGGAGGAGAAACUGAAUCAGGGGGAACACAGAAUGAAGACCAAGAGGGUGGACCUUGGUGCACAUCCCCUUCCUCCUGUGGCUCCUUGAGCUCUCUCAUCCAACAGUGCUGAAAAUGGCCCCUCCUGGGUUGCGUUUGGGCCAGGAACCUCAGCUGGAUAGAUAAAAUGUCAAGGGUUCUGUGUCUACAGAUCAUAAAAUGGCCAAAGAGGCCUGGAAAAUGUCUGCUCCUGUGCCGUGGGACAACACACAUUUAAGGAAAACACAUCCACUCUUCCAGCCAGCAGUGCAGCCUGGCAGGGAUCAUAAGCCUAUAAGUUCUCCUCCUUUAUUUUGGGUCCAUCACAGAGAAGAAGCCUGCUGCUGAGCUGACUGGCACACACGGAGCCCUUAUCUGCCAGGGCGCGAAACUAGUCUGCUGAAUGAGGGCACAGGCUAUAAUGAGUAUCUGAGUUGAGCCACAUCACCAGUAUCAGCAGAAAGCAGGUGCACCGGGCCAGGUCAGCAUGUGAUGGAGAAGGGACCUGUGGACCCAGGCCUUCGUGGUGCUAAAUUCACCUCAGUCGAAAGGUCUCCUCAUGCUUCUCUGCCUGGUGAUGCCAGCCUCAAUGAAGACCUCCACGGACCUUCAUCAGGGUGGACACCGAGUCCAUCAACAGCAUUGGGAAAUGCACUGAAAUGAGUUUCUUGGAGCCCAAGCUCCUUGACCACCGGAGUGGAGACCCCUGCCCCUCUGCGGGACCCAC
Hyaena hyaena (striped hyena) is the source of this 866-nucleotide long non-coding RNA. RefSeq lists it as uncharacterized. The record is from RefSeq and is a predicted model, not a curated record. Lineage: Eukaryota; Metazoa; Chordata; Mammalia; Carnivora; Hyaenidae. The transcript has 6 exons.